GUUACCCAGACUGGUCUCAAACUCCUGGCCACCGGUGAUCCUCCUGCCCCAGCCUCCCAAAGCUCUGGGAUUACAGGUAUGAGCCCACUGUGCCCAGCGGCACCCCCUCCACCUUUUUCUUUAAAAAAAUAAAUAGUGGCAAGCUCUUGCUAUGCUGCCAAGACUAAUCUCAAACUCUUGGGCUUAAUUGAUCUUCCCACCUUGGACUCCCAAAAUGCUGGGAUUACAGGACAACACCCAGUCAGGUAUAGCCUUUGUCUGCAUGAUCCAAGCUAGAUUGUGGGUACACUCAUGUUCUAGGUCUCAAGAAGAAUAAAAAAUAUGGAUGAGGCACCUUUCUUUUUUCUUUUUUUUCUUUUUCUUUUCUUUUUUUUUUUCAGACAGAACCUCACUCUGUCACCCAGGCUGGAGUGCAGUGCCACGAUCUCGGCUCACUGCAACCUCCGCUUCCCGGGUUCACGCCAUUCUCCUGCCUCAGCCUCCUGAGUAGCUGGGACUACAGGUACCCGCCACCACACCUGGCUAAUUUUUUGUAUUUUUAAUAGAGAUGGGGUUUCACCGUGUUAGCCAGCAUGGUCUUGAUCUCCUGAUCUCAUGAUCCGCCAGCCUCGGCCUCAAAGUUCUGGGAUUACAGGCGUGAGCCAACGUGCCCAGCCGAGGCACCUUUCUUAAGGUCCCAGCCCAUAGGUGGUCCACAUCACUUCUGCCUACAUUCCAUGAUCAGGAGCUUAGUCACAUGAUCAGCCCUAACUGUAAGGUGGCUGGGAAAUAUAUAUAUAUGUAUGUGUCUACAUAUAUGUGUGUAUAUAUAUGUGUGUGUGUGUGUGUGUGUGUGUGUGUGUAUGCAGCCAUAGGCCGAGUAGUUCAAUUAUUGUAGAAGAAGGAAAGAAUAGGUUUUUGGAUAGUGUCAUUACAUCAACCUAGAUGUGACCCAGAUACCACCAAGUAGAGGCUCUUCAGUUAUUAUGAGCAAUUAGGUCAGAGUUUUUGUUAAAGUGGAAACAGGGAAAGUAUGAUCCAUAGAGGACAUAAGGACAUAGGAUCCCUUCGAGUAAUGGAACAUGUCCCAGGGGCUUGAAAAGAGACUGUUUUGUUUGUCCUUCCAGACAGGGGAGUUCAGGGGCAUUCAGCAGCAGACAAGGGUGAUGGAUACCCAGAACAUUGCUUAUGAAAUGAUUUAUAUUUUUAAUAAUACUUUAUAGUUUACAAGGAUCAUUUGUACAUAUUGUUUGAUUGGAUGUUGAAAACAUUCCUCAUUAGGGACAGCUAGACGUAGAGAGAUGAAAGGUCUUGCACAAAAUCACACAAUUCAUAAAUAGCAAAGGUGAGAUCUGAACCCAAGUCUUCCUAGUUUCAGUCCAGUGCUUUUUACCAAAUAAAAAUGCUACAUAUUGAUUUUUUUUUUUUAUCCUGGGAGGGUGACUAGUUGGACAUCUCAAAUGGAGUAAGGACUUUACUUUUUCACUGGACUUUACUUUUUCAGUUUCCAUGUAAUUUGGAUGUCAUUGUGAAGACGUCAAGAGUCAUGUCCACAAAGAUAAUACUGGUUAUUACUUGGUGACCACCUACUGUAAGCCAGGCCCUGAGCUGGACACUUUAUUUAUAUCUUAUUUAUUCCUCCUAAUGAUCCAGCAAGGUAGGCAUUAUUACACCUAUCUUGCAGAGGAGGAAGCUGAAGAGGUUAGGUAACUUUUCCCAAACAGAGAGCUAGUAAGUGGGUAAGCCAGGUCAUGAAUCCAAGUUAAUCUGCUAUCUUCCCUCUCAGUGCUGCCUUGAAGGACGAGGGGUAUCUGCUGCUCAGGCCUCAGGAAUGGACACAUAGGCUUCAGGCCCAUGAGGACCUCCUGGACUAAGAGCCAGUCUCACUGCCACCUGUCAGAGCCUUCUUCAAGGGAGUAAACAGAGGGGCAGGACUCACCUCACUUCGUGCUGCCAGGGCUAGAGCUAUCCUUUCUCCCCACUCCAUUCCCACCUUGCUGGGUGAGCCUGCAGUUUUUCCAAGGCAGGGCCAGCCUGUCCUGUGCUGCAAGAUGUAUUAAUCAAUUUGAUGGGGAUGUUAAAGCUUUCUCUUUGCAACUAAUUAUGGCCUGAUUUAUAGGCCUGGCCUUGGUUUGAUAGAGCUCUCCUCAUGACAGGGAUGAAUGUGGUACUGGCAUGGACCCCUUCAUCUCUUCCAUUUCUCUCUCUUCCUCCCUCCUCCCUCCCUCCCACGGCUCCUGCCUCCUGCCUCUGCUCUUGGUUCCCACAGGAACACCCUAAUGACAUGUUGACAAGCUAGUGAAGCAUGGCUCCCUCUCUGUUGCAUCUGCCUCUGGCACCACCAUUCCUCCUGUAUUCUCUGACAUGGGCAGAUGGGUGCUGUGCUGGAGGAAGCUCUGUACACCCUUUCCUUCUGGAAACAAGAAACAAUAAAAAUAUUUUGGGUUGAUGCAGCAUCUUCCUUCCCAAACAUUCCAAGAGCUUGUUGAAAUAAACUUUAUCCCUGAUGGAACUUCCAGGUAAGAUUUCAGAACACUUGCUGUGAGCUCCAAAGCAUGUUGAAGAGCGGGGCUGUCCAUGUUGAAUCCUGUUAGUCAUGCAGCUGAGGGAAUUCCAAUCACCUGACCCGGGUCUGACCGCAGUUACCAGUCUCAAGUCUGAGCAGCGUCUCCAGUGCUGGGCUGCCUUCUUGACUCCAGGAGGCAUGCCUGCUCUUACAAUGAAACUCAAGUCUUUUUUUUUCCUUCCCACAAGUUUGGCUUCUACUUUUCUAAGUGCUGUUCAUCAUAUACUCUGUGUUGUAAGUACUCAGCUCUCUAGCAUCUCUUUAUACUACCUUUUAUUCUUCUGGAAUAUCCUUCCUUCCCACCCACAAGCAUAUUAGGCAAAACUUGCCCACCGUGGUAACUGGAAACAGGACUGAGGGGAAGGAAAACUCUCUCCCAGGUGCAUGGAGUGGGAACUCAUUUAGGGCAUCUUUAGUGCCAUACAUAGAACCUGGAAUACAAUAGGAGCUCAAUUAAUACAUGUUAAAUGGAUAAAUAUUGGUUAAAUGCAUCAUGUUUCUAUACAAUUCUCUUUAAACUAUAAACUCCCCAAGCACAAAGUUAAGAACUAUGUCUCUCUUAUCAGACAAGAUGCCUCCUAACCCAGAUUAUACAGGAGCAUUGUGAGGGCAAGCCCAUGCCAACUCCACAUUCUGUGAGCUCCCAAAACUCCACCAAGGACCUUGCUUAAUGAUGACUUAGACCAGGGUUUCUCGACCUCAGCAUUAUUG
RNAcentral lists this long non-coding RNA (3256 nucleotides) under Homo sapiens (human). RNAcentral's name for it is "HSALNT0241911". Lineage: Eukaryota; Metazoa; Chordata; Mammalia; Primates; Hominidae. The record is from RNAcentral.